UUAGAUUAAAUAUGUUAAAAUAUAGUUUCAAGAGUCUUUUUAUUACUACAGAAGUCUAUAAUAGAAACACCACAUCUUUCAGGCAAAGAUCGUAGGAGGAUCGCAACGUAGGAGGAUCGAAAGCGGUGUGUGUAUAUAUAUAUAUAUAUAUAUAAAAAACAAGGCUAUUGUUGAAAUACUUUCUAAGACAGUUGUUAAGCUGUUUUCAAUUAUGUAGCAGCAAAUCUUUCUAGAAUCUAUAACCAGAAGACCUCGAGGUAUUACUUGUCCUGCCUACCACAGGCACACACACCUCAAGGGUGUCUGGAGAUGAGUAAUUUCAAACAAAUGCAGACGUAAAUAUUUCAAAAAACUCAUUAGGCUCAUCUGGCAUGAUUUUAACCCAGGAUGGAUGUUAGUGCUAGAACCAUUGAUGCAACAGUUUGUUAUAACCACUUUAAUGCCAAACACUGCCUGCCAUUUCUUAGGCAACCAUCUCACAAUGACCACCAUUCAAAGCAGCACUGAUGUAUGCCAUAAUAGGAGCCAGGCCAAGGAUUUUCUAUUGUGUCUGCCUGUGUAUGUUGUGUUUGUUUAUCUGGGUAGCAGGCUGAAAUAGACCCAGAGCACACAGAUGAUGGAUAGUGAGUGGAUGAGUUUGUCUUUUUCUUUUCUGUAACUCACAAGGAAUUCACACCUGCGGAAUAGGACUUCUAUUAUUGCUUCAGCUUCUGUGGCUUCAGACCCAAAAUCCUGAAAUAACCCAAGCUGAGAAAAAGAAGAAGUGCGAAGAAGACUGACAGCAGAUCUAAAGUCUGUUGCCCUUCAGUUCUGUUGCAUUCAUCUCUCCAUUACCCCACAAAGACCUCUGGAGACUACCUUAAAACAUGAUGAUAACACUCAGAACUCUAUGCCUGUUUCUCCUGUUCCUGCUCCACAUGGCUAAGGCAGAUCAAAUUUCUUCAACCACAAUCACGGAUUCACUAAACUCUAAAGACCAAAAUGAUAGCCCACCAUCUACAAUGGAGCCGAACCUGACAGCCACUUACCAUCAAAAUCCAACCGAUACCAACAAUACCAGUGGUGGCAACUGCUUAAUUGACACCGAGAUAGGCCUAAUUGCUAUUGGUUCAGCAGGAGGGUUAAUUAUCUGCUUACUGAUUACAACAUCAGUGCUUGCAUGUCAGAUCUGUGUCCUUCAGCACCAGAUAUAUAUCCCCCGAUCCCGCCGUUCCAACACAGACAUAAUGAGUGCUGACUACUGGGGAACAGAUCAAACAGAGAUAGAGGGGUUGGUGGGCCCAUGUGAUACCACUGUUAUGCUUGAGGAAGUGACAACAGACAGUAGGACUCGGACUGAAAUACAAGGGGCAAUGGAAGAAGCUGGGAGAGGACUCGAGGAAGGGAAAACAACUUUGUGUGAUUCUGAAGAAAAGGUCUUUCAGAUCCAGAGCUCCAGUUCUAAGGAUUCCUAUGUGGAAGUUCCUAAGGAUUUAGAAGACAUGCCUCUUGUUGUAUGAAAUGGUAACCCACCUCUGUCACCCCUUUCCCAAAUAACCAAAUUAGUUGUGUUUUAUUUGUUAUUAUUUUGAUAACUAAAGUUCAUGUAAAAUCUAAACCUACUUGGGUAUUUCAUAGAAGUUGGAAAACAACAAGAACCUUUGAUUUAUUUCGCUUAAAAAAUAAAACAAACAAAGUUUAGUUUCAUUGUAGAACAAAAUUUGUAUAGUUUAAAUAAGGUCUAGCUCUGUCAAAACUGUUUUGCUACUGACUGAAAUGUACGUGGAAACAAAAAAGUAGGAGAAAAUGUUUAUAAAGACAACACAAUGACAUUUCAUCUGGAGGAUGAUACAGAUCUGGUUUGGUAAAAAAAUAAAUAAAAAUUAAUCAAAUAGAGAGAAAAAGGACAGGAGAAACAACAAAAAAUAUUUAUUGAAAAUAUCAAGAGAAUCAGAGUCAUAAAUUGUUUUGCUGACAGAAUAUUUUCACUUCAGUUAGAACAGAGUACCUCCUGUCCAAGCUAGAAAGCAUUAUUUAAAAAAAAACAACAACAACAAUGUGGGAAGUUUUAAUGAAAGAGUUCAUGAGAGAUAUUGGAACAAAAAUAUUUUCUUGUGUUCAUAACUCAAUAGCCUGCUUACAAAGUGGCCUUCAACUUUAUCUUAGAGCCAACAAGUGCUUUAGUAUUCUUUUCAUUCAUGCAUC
Molecule: long non-coding RNA, 2184 nt
Organism: Fundulus heteroclitus (mummichog)
Lineage: Eukaryota; Metazoa; Chordata; Actinopteri; Cyprinodontiformes; Fundulidae
Exons: 3
Source: RefSeq, a predicted model, not a curated record